Molecule: transfer RNA, 70 nt
Filed under: Ciconia ciconia (White stork)
Lineage: Eukaryota; Metazoa; Chordata; Aves; Ciconiiformes; Ciconiidae
Also listed under: 1 other name
Description: transfer RNA-phe
Rfam family: tRNA
About the family: Transfer RNA (tRNA) molecules are approximately 80 nucleotides in length. Their secondary structure includes four short double-helical elements and three loops (D, anti-codon, and T loops).
Source: RNAcentral
GUCCUUGUAGCUUACAACUAAAGCAUGGCACUGAAGAUGCCAAGACGGCUGCCAUAUGCACCCAAGGACA